RNAcentral lists this unclassified non-coding RNA (520 nucleotides) under uncultured Glomus. RNAcentral's name for it is "SSU rRNA". It matches the Rfam family "Eukaryotic small subunit ribosomal RNA", at positions 569 to 1094 of the family's 1831-position model. The record is from RNAcentral. Lineage: Eukaryota; Fungi; Glomeromycota; Glomeromycetes; Glomerales; Glomeraceae.
AGCAGCCGCGGUAAUUCCAGCUCCAAUAGCGUAUAUUAAAGUUGCUGCAGUUAAAAGCUCGUAGUUGAAUUUCGGGACUAAUAUGUCGGUCGUGCCUCGGUACGUACUGGCUUAUUGGUUUCUCCUUUCUGAAGAACCAUGAUGUCAUUUAUUUGGUGUCGUGGGGAAUCAGGACUGUUACUUUGAAAAAUUAGAGUGUUUAAAGCAGGCUUUAGCUUGAAUACAUUAGCAUGGAAUAAUGAAAUAGGACGUUCGAACCUAUUUUGUUGGUUUCUAGGAUCAACGUAAUGAUUAAUAGGGAUAGUUGGGGGCAUUAGUAUUCAAUUGUCAGAGGUGAAAUUCUUGGAUUUAUUGAAGACUUAACUACUGCGAAAGCAUUUGCCAAGGAUGUUUUCAUUAAUCAAGAACGAAAGUUAGGGAUCGAAGACGAUCAGAUACCGUCGUAGUCUUAACCAUAAACUAUGCCGACUAGGGAUCGGAUGAUGUUAAUUUUUAAUGUACUCAUUCGGCGCCUUUACGG